RNAcentral lists this ribosomal RNA (776 nucleotides) under uncultured Neocallimastigales. RNAcentral describes it as "partial large subunit ribosomal RNA". It matches the Rfam family "Eukaryotic large subunit ribosomal RNA", at positions 23 to 620 of the family's 3401-position model. Lineage: Eukaryota; Fungi; Neocallimastigomycota; Neocallimastigomycetes; Neocallimastigales. The record is from RNAcentral.
AGAGAGAGACAUGCGCGCAUAUCAAUAAGCGGAGGAAAAGAAAGUUAACAAGGAUUCCCUUAGUAACGGCGAGUGAAGCGGGAAGAGCUCAAAUUUGAAAUCUUCAAGGUUUUACCUUGACGAAUUGUAGUUUAAAGAAGUGUUUUCUGCUGAAGUUUUGGUAAAAGUUCUUUGGAAUAGGACAUCAUAGAGGGUGAGAAUCCCGUAUUUGACCAUUAUUUUCAGCUUUGUGAUACACUUUCAAAGAGUCGGAUUGCUUGGGAAUGCAGUCCAAAAUGGGUGGUAAAUUUCAUCUAAAGCUAAAUAUUGGCGAGAGACCGAUAGCGAACAAGUACCGUGAGGGAAAGAUGAAAAGAACUUUGAAAAGAGAGUUAAACAGUACGUGAAAUUGUCAAAAGGGAAGCGUUUGACACCAGUGUUGUUUUCUCGAAAAUCAAUUAAAAAUGGCUCGAUUUCGUAUUGCUUGAGACCUUAAAAGCUCACUGUACAUUUUUCGUGUCUUUUUUAAUGCACUUUUCGUUUAACAAGUCAACAUCAGUUUCUUUUGUUGUAAAAGGGUCAUUGGAAGGUGGCUUUCUUUUCGGAGAAAGUGUUUAUAGCCUUUGGCCUCUGCAAUCGGAGAGACUGAGGUCUGCAGCGUAGACUCUUCGGGGUUAGAUACAUUUGUGCUAAGUUAUAGCUUUUUAUAGACAACUUGUUGACUAUAAUUAGUCUUGUAGCUUACUCGCUUAUGCUAUUUUACCUACGCUUAGGAUGUUGAAGAUGUAGCACAUCAU